Molecule: ribosomal RNA, 726 nt
Filed under: Staphylococcus hominis
Lineage: Bacteria; Bacillati; Bacillota; Bacilli; Caryophanales; Staphylococcaceae
Description: bacterial SSU rRNA
Rfam family: Bacterial small subunit ribosomal RNA
Source: RNAcentral
UGCAGUCGAGCGACAGACGAGGAGCUUGCUCCUUUGACGUUAGCGGCGGACGGGUGAGUAACACGUAGGUAACCUACCUAUAAGACUGGGAUAACUUCGGGAAACCGGAGCUAAUACCGGAUAAUAUUUCGAACCGCAUGGUUCGAUAGUGAAAGAUGGCUUUGCUAUCACUUAUAGAUGGACCUGCGCCGUAUUAGCUAGUUGGUAAGGUAACGGCUUACCAAGGCAACGAUACGUAGCCGACCUGAGAGGGUGAUCGGCCACACUGGAACUGAGACACGGUCCAGACUCCUACGGGAGGCAGCAGUAGGGAAUCUUCCGCAAUGGGCGAAAGCCUGACGGAGCAACGCCGCGUGAGUGAUGAAGGUCUUCGGAUCGUAAAACUCUGUUAUUAGGGAAGAACAAACGUGUAAGUAACUGUGCACGUCUUGACGGUACCUAAUCAGAAAGCCACGGCUAACUACGUGCCAGCAGCCGCGGUAAUACGUAGGUGGCAAGCGUUAUCCGGAAUUAUUGGGCGUAAAGCGCGCGUAGGCGGUUUUUUAAGUCUGAUGUGAAAGCCCACGGCUCAACCGUGGAGGGUCAUUGGAAACUGGAAAACUUGAGUGCAGAAGAGGAAAGUGGAAUUCCAUGUGUAGCGGUGAAAUGCGCAGAGAUAUGGAGGACACCAGUGCGAAGGCGACUUUCUGGUCUGUAACUGACGCUGAUGUGCGAAAGCGUGGGAUC